Canis lupus familiaris (dog) is the source of this 1448-nucleotide long non-coding RNA. RefSeq lists it as uncharacterized. Lineage: Eukaryota; Metazoa; Chordata; Mammalia; Carnivora; Canidae. The record is from RefSeq and is a predicted model, not a curated record. The transcript has 2 exons.
GUUGGUGAAGUGUCUGCUUUGUGCUCAGGUCAGGACCCAGGGUCCUGGGAUCGAGCCCUGUGUCGGGCUCCGUACUCAGCAGGAAGCCUACUUCUCCCUCUCCCUCUGCCAUUCCCCCCGCUGGUCCUGUCUAGCUCUAUCUCUCGGUGAAAUAAAUUUAAAAAAACUUUUUUUUUUUUUUAAAGACACUGUUCAUGAAUGAGAAAGGCCUCAUGGAGAUGUGGGUACAGUACGGUGACCAUAUCAUACUGUGUUGUGUAUUUGAAAGUUGCCAAGCAGAUCUUAAAAGUGUUCAUCACAAGGAAAACGGUUUUGUGACAAUGUGUGAUGAUGCAUGUUCCCUAGACUUACUGUGGUGAUCGUUUUGUGAAAUAUACCAACGCUGAAAAAAUGCGAGUGUUGAAUCAUUCUAUUGUACAACUGAAACUAAUAUAAUGUCCUGUGUCAAUUAUGUCUAAAGAAAAAAAAGAAAAAGGGAAAUGAGAAUGACCUAUAUAGUUUUCUGGCUUGUGCUUUUAUUUUUUUUUUAAAGAUUUUAUUUAUUCAUUCAUGAGAGACAGAGAGAGAGGCAGACACACAGGCAGAGGGAGAAGCAGGCUCCAUGCACAGGGAGCCCGACGUGGGACUCGAUCCCGGGACCCCGGGGUCAUGCCCUGGGCCGAAGGCAGACGCUCAACCGCUGAGCCCCCGGGUGCCCCUGCCUUGUACUUUUCUCGGCUCUGGAUUCCACGUUAUGUGAUUACAGGACGCACGUUUGCAUCUGUCUACCACCACCUCGGCGCUGAGUCCUGGCCCCAAAUGUCUUUUUUUCCCCUGGGACUUAUAAAUCGAAGUAUUUUCUCUAACUGCAAUCUUGGGUAGGUCAGUGAACCAAUCUGCAAAAACAGUCUUAAGCCUGCAAGUUCCUCCUCGAAAGAAGCCCACACGUUCUGCAAGUGUCAACGUCACGGUUCGGGGUCACUCCAGGAGCACCCGUCUCGCAGAGGCUCCUCUAAGGGCCGCCCCUUGCUUCGUGUGGGUUUUUCCUGCAGGGUCGCCUCCGAAUCUACAGUGGAAUCUGCACCAACACUGGCUUCCAGUCCCAGGGCUUUGCUGCAGGUGAGCGAGGGUCUCCCGAGGCCUCGGGGUGCAGGAGAACAGAGGGUGCGAGCCCCCCAGAAGGCGCCGCGGUUUGCACGUUGCACCUCCAGGGCCCGGCAGCAGGGGUCACUACAUGAAAAGUUAUGAUCGGGUGGCAGGUUCCCACGGCUUCGGGUGUGAGCUCGCCGCCCGGGGCUGGGGUCUGUGGGCUGCAGGGCUCAGACGUCACUGCGGCCUCUGCACCGUCAGCCGCUCCCCGGGGCGCGCUGCUGCGAAGGGCAAAUCAGGUUCAUCUAUUUCAGACUGUUCUUUAUGAACCUUCCAGGUGGUCAUACAUACCAAGAACAUAAUAAAAUAUCCCCAUAAAG